UACGGAGGGUGCAAACGUUGCUCGGAAUCAUUGGGCGUAAAGCGCACGUAGGCGGACCGCUAAGUCGGAUGUGAAAUCCCUCGGCUUAACCGAGGAAGUGCAUUCGAAACUGACGGUCUUGAGUAUGGAAGAGGGUCGCGGAAUUCCCGGUGUAGAGGUGAAAUUCGUAGAUAUCGGGAGGAACACCUGUGGCGAAAGCGGCGCACUGGACCACAUCUGACGCUGAGGCGCGAAAGCUAGGGGAGCAAACAGG
Molecule: ribosomal RNA, 253 nt
Filed under: uncultured bacterium
Lineage: Bacteria
Description: partial 16S ribosomal RNA
Rfam family: Bacterial small subunit ribosomal RNA
Source: RNAcentral